Molecule: long non-coding RNA, 109 nt
Organism: Myotis brandtii (Brandt's bat)
Lineage: Eukaryota; Metazoa; Chordata; Mammalia; Chiroptera; Vespertilionidae
Exons: 2
Source: RefSeq, a predicted model, not a curated record
CAAGUGUACUGGCAUGUUCUGUGGAUCAUUUACCCAUGACUCAAAACUCCUGAGGGCAAUAACCAUGUCAUAUUCAUCUCGGUAAUCUCAAUAAAUAUUUACUGAAGAA